AUUGAACGCUGGCGGCAUGCUUUACACAUGCAAGUCGAACGGUAACAGGCCGCAAGGUGCUGACGAGUGGCGAACGGGUGAGUAAUGCAUCGGAACGUGCCCAGUCGGGGGGGAUAACGCAGCGAAAGCUGCGCUAACACCGCAUACGAUCCCUGGAUGAAAGCGGGGGACCGCAAGGCCUCGCGCGAUUGGAGCGGCCGAUGUCAGAUUAGGUAGGUGGUGGGGUAAAGGCCCACCAAGCCAACGAUCCGUAGCUGGUCUGAGAGGACGACCAGCCACACUGGGACUGAGACACGGCCCAGACUCCUACGGGAGGCAGCAGUGGGGAAUUUUGGACAAUGGGCGCAAGCCUGAUCCAGCAAUGCCGCGUGCAGGAAGAAGGCCUUCGGGUUGUAAACUGCUUUUGUACGGAACGAAACGGUCCGGGCUAAUACCCUGGGCUAAUGACGGUACCGUAAGAAUAAGCACCGGCUAACUACGUGCCAGCAGCCGCCGUAA
This 498-nucleotide ribosomal RNA is filed under the name uncultured bacterium. RNAcentral's name for it is "partial 16S ribosomal RNA". It matches the Rfam family "Bacterial small subunit ribosomal RNA", at positions 29 to 523 of the family's 1533-position model. The record is from RNAcentral.